AGUGAACGCUGGCGGUAGGCCUAACACAUGCAAGUCGAACGGCAGCACAGUAAGAGCUUGCUCUUACGGGUGGCGAGUGGCGGACGGGUGAGGAAUACAUCGGAAUCUACUUUUUCGUGGGGGAUAACGUAGGGAAACUUAUGCUAAUACCGCAUACGACCUACGGGUGAAAGCAGGGGAUAUUCGGACCUUGCGCGAUUGAAUGAGCCGAUGUCGGAUUAGCUAGUUGGCGGGGUAAAGGCCCACCAAGGCGACGAUCCGUAGCUGGUCUGAGAGGAUGAUCAGCCACACUGGAACUGAGACACGGUCCAGACUCCUACGGGAGGCAGCAGUGGGGAAUAUUGGACAAAGGGCGCAAGCCUGAUCCAGCCAUACCGCGUGGGUGAAGAAGGCCUUCGGGUUGUAAAGCCCUUUUGUUGGGAAAGAAAAGCAGCAGGUUAAUACCCCGCUGUUCUGACGGUACCCAAAGAAUAAGCACCGGCUAACUUCGUG
This 492-nucleotide ribosomal RNA is filed under the name uncultured bacterium. RNAcentral describes it as "partial 16S ribosomal RNA". It matches the Rfam family "Bacterial small subunit ribosomal RNA", at positions 29 to 507 of the family's 1533-position model. The record is from RNAcentral.